RNAcentral lists this unclassified non-coding RNA (282 nucleotides) under Melitaea cinxia (Glanville fritillary). RNAcentral describes it as "misc RNA ENSMCXG00005010962.1". The record is from RNAcentral. Lineage: Eukaryota; Metazoa; Arthropoda; Insecta; Lepidoptera; Nymphalidae.
ACUUCCUCCUUUUAUGGAAGUCGGUUAAAAAGCACUGGAACAGCGUGGAUUAAGCUCUGGUCCUUCUCUUACACGGAGAAAGAGGUCUAUGCCCAGCAGUGGGAUGUUAAAGGAUGAAUCGUGAUUGUAUAUAAUCCACGUACCAGACGAAGGCAUCGUAAGUUAUUGGGAUUAGACCUUAUUCUGCCACAACUUAUCUUCUGUGCAUUAACAAAGAUACUAACCGUUGUUAGCCUUUUUAUUUGAGAAAAAAUUGAUCUUAGUGCUCACUGAUUUGACUCA